This 275-nucleotide ribosomal RNA is filed under the name uncultured bacterium. RNAcentral describes it as "partial 16S ribosomal RNA". It matches the Rfam family "Bacterial small subunit ribosomal RNA", at positions 523 to 796 of the family's 1533-position model. The record is from RNAcentral.
AGACGGAGGGGGCUAGCGUUGUUCGGAAUUACUGGGCGUAAAGCGCGCGUAGGCGGUUUGGUAAGUUGGGCGUGAAAGCCCGGGGCUCAACCCCGGAACCGCGUCCGAAACUGCCAGACUUCGAGUCCGGGAGAGGGUAGUGGAAUUCCCAGUGUAGAGGUGAAAUUCGUAGAUAUUGGGAAGAACACCAGUGGCGAAGGCGGCUACCUGGUCCGGUACUGACGCUGAGGUGCGAAAGCGUGGGGAGCAAACAGGAUUAGAUACCCCAGUAGUCC